UACGUAGGUGGCAAGCGUUGUCCGGAAUUAUUGGGCGUAAAGCGCGCGCAGGCGGUCCUUUAAGUCUGAUGUGAAAGCCCACGGCUCAACCGUGGAGGGUCAUUGGAAACUGGGAGACUUGAGUGCAGAAGAGAAGAGUGGAAUUCCACGUGUAGCGGUGAAAUGCGUAGAGAUGUGGAGGAACACCAGUGGCGAAGGCGACUCUUUGGUCUGCAACUGACGCUGAGGCGCGAAAGCGUGGGGAGCAAACAGG
RNAcentral lists this ribosomal RNA (253 nucleotides) under uncultured bacterium. RNAcentral describes it as "partial 16S ribosomal RNA". It matches the Rfam family "Bacterial small subunit ribosomal RNA", at positions 524 to 776 of the family's 1533-position model. The record is from RNAcentral.